This is a non-coding RNA of Acanthosepion pharaonis, 113 nucleotides long. The record is from the annotation of a GenBank genome assembly. Lineage: Eukaryota; Metazoa; Mollusca; Cephalopoda; Sepiida; Sepiidae.
UUACGGUCAUAUCCCAUUGACACAACGGUUCUCAUGCAAUCAGCGAAGUUAAGCAAAAUCGAGUCUGGUCAGUAUUUCGAUGGGUGACCGCUUGGUAAUACCUGGCGCUGUCA